Rosa rugosa (rugosa rose) is the source of this 337-nucleotide long non-coding RNA. RefSeq lists it as uncharacterized. NCBI's taxonomy places the organism in Eukaryota, Viridiplantae, Streptophyta, Magnoliopsida, Rosales, Rosaceae. The transcript has 2 exons. The record is from RefSeq and is a predicted model, not a curated record.
GUUUGAGUUGGUGGACGAUUGUGGAUCGUAUUUUGAGCUGAAUUGAAGACGCAGCGGGAUUAUCGAGCGGGAAAUCCUACAGGUCAGGAGAACCAGGACGGUGAUCGGGCUGCUUAGAGUAGUGUUAUGUGAAUUACAGCAUUAUAUUGUGAGGUUUGUUAUGCUCAUUUAGAGCUUUGCAAUUUUACUUUGUAAGAGUGAAUUGUAAUAAUUAACUCGAGGUUUUCGAGUUUUUGUGUUGAGUGGCGAGUGGUGUGUUUGUUUGUGAGAAAAAAAUUCAGAACGUUAUUUGUAUUAAUUGUUUAUUCAUGUUUCGGAUUUGAAUUGGUUAUUCAAA